This 279-nucleotide long non-coding RNA is filed under the name Elaeis guineensis (African oil palm). RNAcentral describes it as "long non-coding RNA (EGUI_LNC068237)". Lineage: Eukaryota; Viridiplantae; Streptophyta; Magnoliopsida; Arecales; Arecaceae. The record is from RNAcentral.
GAAAGGAGAACCUAGCCGACCCCUUCACUAAAGCCCUGGCGAUAAAGGAGUUCGACAACCACAAGUCGAAGAUGGGUAUUAGAUACUGUGCCGAGUGGCUUUAGGACAAGUGGGAGUUAUUGGAAAAUGUGUCCCAAAAAGUCAAUCGUCAAGCUGUUAACGGUUGAGCAACCAAGUAUUGUAAUUGAUUUGUUAAUAAAUAAAAUAUAUUUGUCAUCUUCAUCAUAAGCUUUCAUCUUCUAGUGAACUCUGUUGUUAUGAUGAAGUCCUUAGGACUAU